RNAcentral lists this non-coding RNA (24 nucleotides) under Arabidopsis thaliana (thale cress). The record is from RNAcentral. Lineage: Eukaryota; Viridiplantae; Streptophyta; Magnoliopsida; Brassicales; Brassicaceae.
AUCGUCUUAGUGGGCUUGGGUUGA